This 253-nucleotide ribosomal RNA is filed under the name uncultured bacterium. RNAcentral describes it as "partial 16S ribosomal RNA". It matches the Rfam family "Bacterial small subunit ribosomal RNA", at positions 524 to 776 of the family's 1533-position model. RNAcentral also lists the same sequence under 1 other name. The record is from RNAcentral.
UACGGAGGGUGCAAGCGUUAUCCGGAUUCACUGGGUUUAAAGGGUGCGUAGGCGGAUGGGUAAGUCCGUGGUGAAAUCUCCGAGCUUAACUCGGAAACUGCCAUGGAUACUAUCGAUCUUGAAUUCUGUGGAGGUAAGCGGAAUAUGUCAUGUAGCGGUGAAAUGCUUAGAUAUGACAUAGAACACCAAUUGCGAAGGCAGCUUACUACACAGCGAUUGACGCUGAGGCACGAAAGCGUGGGGAGCAAACAGG